RNAcentral lists this vault RNA (95 nucleotides) under Podarcis muralis (Common wall lizard). Its description in RNAcentral is "Vault RNA (ENSPMRG00000001580.1)". It matches the Rfam family "Vault RNA". From Rfam's summary of the family: This family of RNAs are found as part of the enigmatic vault ribonucleoprotein complex. The complex consists of a major vault protein (MVP), two minor vault proteins (VPARP and TEP1), and several small untranslated RNA molecules. Lineage: Eukaryota; Metazoa; Chordata; Lepidosauria; Squamata; Lacertidae. The record is from Rfam by way of RNAcentral.
AUGCCAGCUUAGCCUAGUGGUUCCUUGGCUCCCCAGUCAAAUACAGUUCCUUGGCCCUGUUGGUUUGAGUCCCAUGGGGGCUGCCUGGCCUUUAU